UCCUAACUGUCAAGGUUGCCUUUGAGCAUUCUAGGCAAAAGACUAGCAACUCAACUGGCCAGGUAAGUGUAAGGUCGGUGGGGGUCCCACCGUUGCUUUCCUUAGAUACCAACUGAGUUGGCCAGAUAAGCGAACGGAACCAAUUAAAUAACCACUUUCCUUCAGGAUGUAGUCCUUGAACCACUUUUCUAGACACCAGUCAAACUGACUAACCCUAACCCGAUCUUACUCUUAGGAUCCCUUGUCCUAUUGAGCUCGAAAGUCCUUAGGGGCCAACGUCUAAUUGAUUUUAAAUUAAGGUUUAGGUCAAUGCAAUAUGCAGGAUGGUGGUUUGUGAGCCA
RNAcentral lists this long non-coding RNA (341 nucleotides) under Elaeis guineensis (African oil palm). RNAcentral's name for it is "long non-coding RNA (EGUI_LNC074142)". The record is from RNAcentral. Lineage: Eukaryota; Viridiplantae; Streptophyta; Magnoliopsida; Arecales; Arecaceae.